This 399-nucleotide long non-coding RNA is filed under the name Amborella trichopoda. RNAcentral describes it as "long non-coding RNA (ATRI_LNC004928)". Lineage: Eukaryota; Viridiplantae; Streptophyta; Magnoliopsida; Amborellales; Amborellaceae. The record is from RNAcentral.
GUUUAGUUCACUUAGAUGUUAAACAUUGGUUCAUGAUACUUUUUCUUUUCUUGUGAGAAAUUUGUUUGUGAUACUUAAUCCUCUUUAUGGUGAAAUGAACCAUCACUCAAUCCCCAACAAAAAUCCCUUCCAGUUUUGAUUCCAUUAGGUGGAUGAGGCACAUUGAAAUCAUUUGCCACUUUAUUCACGACACCUUCUUUGAAGUAUUGUUUCUCAACUGCAUAUUUCUAUUUCUUUGAAAUCUGAGACCAUUAUGUAAUUGCCUAUGAUAAUAUUAAGUUGUUGGUUGCAGGAUUCUUUCUUGAUUUAUUUCUUUUGGAUUGACUUUAAAAGUGGCAAGUUUGGUUUACUUCUCGAAGUUAUGAUUGUCUAUUGAAUAGAGCUUUUCCCUUAUGCAUC